Molecule: ribosomal RNA, 253 nt
Filed under: uncultured bacterium
Lineage: Bacteria
Description: partial 16S ribosomal RNA
Rfam family: Bacterial small subunit ribosomal RNA
Source: RNAcentral
UACGGAGGGUGCUAGCGUUGUUCGGAAUUACUGGGCGUAAAGCGCGCGUAGGCGGACCUGCAAGUCGGGGGUGAAAGCCCGAGGCUCAACCUCGGAACUGCCUUCGAUACUGCGGGUCUCGAGUCCGGGAGAGGUGAGUGGAAUUCCUAGUGUAGAGGUGAAAUUCGUAGAUAUUCGCAAGAACACCAGUGGCGAAGGCGGCUCACUGGCCCGGUACUGACGCUGAGGUGCGAAAGCGUGGGGAGCAAACAGG